CCCCACUGCUGCGCUAACUCCAAGGCUCAUCUGCUUCCUUCUCUGGAGAGUUUUAAAUAGACAGGGAUGUGUUAAUGACACAGUGCAUUAUCUGUCUGCUACCAUUUUGGCAGGCGCCGCUGUGGAGACGUGAGUUUCUUAAGGAGGAGUUAAUCGGCAUGAAAGCAGCAGAGUGGCUGCUUCUGUGUCACAGACAUGAAACAUCAGUGCCCAGAUGGCUUGGGAAGGCUGGGGGGUCCCAGAACGCAAGGAGCCUGGUGCCGUUUGAGUAGUGAUUGUGGGAUCAGAGGUGGAUAAGACUCAUCUGAGACCUCGUUGGAGCUCACAGUACAUUCAGUCAAUAAGACUUUGAGGCCAGGCUCAGCUCUGCAUCCUCCAUCCCAGAUUAAUAUAAGAAUCAUAAAUGAUGCAUACAUCAAGUUCUUAGCUUGAGUGUGUUUGGCAUGUCCUUGAAAACGAGAUGGCAUGUAGGGUUUCCAUUUCCACCAAACAAAUAUUUACCGAGCACUUCACACACACUGAGAAGUACUGAAGAUGCAAAGUUGAGUGCGAUGUGCUCCCUGGAUUCCAUUUUCGCACGGGAAUUAGGAACCUGGCACCGGCUCCUCAAAGGCCUGAGUCAGAAGCUAAUCAGAGGGAAUCUCCAUUUGUUCUGGCUCCACCUCUGCCAUGCAAG
Molecule: long non-coding RNA, 676 nt
Organism: Mus musculus (house mouse)
Lineage: Eukaryota; Metazoa; Chordata; Mammalia; Rodentia; Muridae
Product: predicted gene, 33668
Exons: 4
Source: RefSeq, a predicted model, not a curated record